GCCCCAGAUGCCUAAAAAACUGGCCUCCCAUGCCAGGGAUUGAGGGUUCGAGUCCCUUCUGGGGUG
This 66-nucleotide transfer RNA is filed under the name Salmo salar (Atlantic salmon). It matches the Rfam family "tRNA". From Rfam's summary of the family: Transfer RNA (tRNA) molecules are approximately 80 nucleotides in length. Their secondary structure includes four short double-helical elements and three loops (D, anti-codon, and T loops). Lineage: Eukaryota; Metazoa; Chordata; Actinopteri; Salmoniformes; Salmonidae. The record is from Rfam by way of RNAcentral.